Molecule: ribosomal RNA, 397 nt
Filed under: uncultured bacterium
Lineage: Bacteria
Description: partial 16S ribosomal RNA
Rfam family: Bacterial small subunit ribosomal RNA
Source: RNAcentral
AUACGUAGGUGACAAGCGUUAUCCGGAUUUACUGGGCGUAAAGGGCGUGUAGGCGGUCUUGCAAGUCAGAAGUGAAAUUCCUGAGCUCAACUCGGGCGCUGCUUCUGAAACUGCAGGACUUGAGUGCUGGAGGGGAUAGCGGAAUUCCUAGUGGAGCGGUAAAAUGCGCAGAUAUUAGGAAGAACACCGGUGGCGAAGGCGGCUAUCUGGACAGUAACGGACGCUGAGGCGCGAAAGCGUGGGGAGCAAACAGGAUGAGAUUCCCUGAUAGUCCACGCCGUAAACGAUGAAUACUAGGUGUAGGGGGUAUCGACUCCCUCUGUGCCGCAGUUAACACAAUAAGUAUUCCGCCUUGGGAGUACGGCCGCAAGGUUGAAACUCAAAUGAAUUGACGGGG